ACCUUAUUUGUGUCUCUGCAGUAAAUAUGGACGAGAAUCAUUUGUAGGCUUUAGGUGUCAGUUAAGAAUUAUCAGGUUGCCCAUAAGAACCCUACUAACACUG
Molecule: non-coding RNA, 103 nt
Organism: Capsicum annuum
Lineage: Eukaryota; Viridiplantae; Streptophyta; Magnoliopsida; Solanales; Solanaceae
Source: Rfam